Molecule: ribosomal RNA, 765 nt
Filed under: uncultured Streptococcus sp.
Lineage: Bacteria; Bacillati; Bacillota; Bacilli; Lactobacillales; Streptococcaceae
Description: bacterial SSU rRNA
Rfam family: Bacterial small subunit ribosomal RNA
Source: RNAcentral
GAUGAACGCUGGCGGCGUGCCUAAUACAUGCAAGUAGAACGCUGAAGCUUGGUGCUUGCACCGAGCGGAUGAGUUGCGAACGGGUGAGUAACGCGUAGGUAACCUGCCUCUUAGCGGGGGAUAACUAUUGGAAACGAUAGCUAAUACCGCAUAAAAGUCGACAUUGCAUGAUGUUGACUUGAAAGGUGCAAUUGCAUCACUAAGAGAUGGACCUGCGUUGUAUUAGCUAGUUGGUGAGGUGACGGCUCACCAAGGCAACGAUACAUAGCCGACCUGAGAGGGUGAUCGGCCACACUGGGACUGAGACACGGCCCAGACUCCUACGGGAGGCAGCAGUAGGGAAUCUUCGGCAAUGGGGGCAACCCUGACCGAGCAACGCCGCGUGAGUGAAGAAGGUUUUCGGAUCGUAAAGCUCUGUUGUAAGAGAAGAACGAGUGUGAGAGUGGAAAGUUCACACUGUGACGGUAACUUACCAGAAAGGGACGGCUAACUACGUGCCAGCAGCCGCGGUAAUACGUAGGUCCCGAGCGUUAUCCGGAUUUAUUGGGCGUAAAGCGAGCGCAGGCGGUUAGAUAAGUCUGAAGUUAAAGGCUGUGGCUUAACCAUAGUACGCUUUGGAAACUGUUUAACUUGAGUGCAGAAGGGGAGAGUGGAAUUCCAUGUGUAGCGGUGAAAUGCGUAGAUAUAUGGAGGAACACCGGUGGCGAAAGCGGCUCUCUGGUCUGUAACUGACGCUGAGGCUCGAAAGCGUGGGGAGCAAACAGG